Molecule: ribosomal RNA, 582 nt
Filed under: uncultured Mesorhizobium sp.
Lineage: Bacteria; Pseudomonadati; Pseudomonadota; Alphaproteobacteria; Hyphomicrobiales; Phyllobacteriaceae
Description: bacterial SSU rRNA
Rfam family: Bacterial small subunit ribosomal RNA
Source: RNAcentral
GUGAACAAUGGUUACCGUUUAAGAGAUGGUGACUUGAUAGUAAUGAAAGAGGAAGGGACGGCUAACUCUGUGCCAGCAGCCGCGGUAAUACAGAGGUCCCGAGCGUUGUUCGGAUUCACUGGGCGUAAAGGGUGCGUAGGUGGCAUGGUAAGUUUGAUGUGAAAGCUCAGGGCUUAACCCUGAAAUGGCAUUGAAUACUACUGUGCUGGAUGUUUGGAGGGGGGACUGGAAUUCUUGGUGUAGCAGUGAAAUGCGUAGAUAUCAAGAGGAACACCAGUGGCGAAGGCGAGUCCCUGGACAACACCUGACACUGAGGCACGAAAGCUAGGGGAGCAAACAGGAUUAGAUACCCUGGUAGUCCACGUCGUAAACGAUGGAUGCUAGCCGUCGGCAAGCUUGCUUGUCGGUGGCGCAGCUAACGCAUUGAGCAUCCCGCCUGGGGAGUACGGCCGCAAGGUUAAAACUCAAAGGAAUUGACGGGGACCCGCACAAGCGGUGGAGCAUGUGGUUUAAUUCGAUGCAGCGCGAAGAACCUUACCUGGUCUUGACAUCCCAAGAACCCUGCAUACAUGUAGGGGUGCC